Molecule: long non-coding RNA, 731 nt
Filed under: Zea mays
Lineage: Eukaryota; Viridiplantae; Streptophyta; Magnoliopsida; Poales; Poaceae
Description: long non-coding RNA (ZMAY_LNC005528)
Source: RNAcentral
GCCCUCACUCCACUUCGUCCCCGUCGAUCGAGCACUCCACGCCCCUCUAGUACCCUCCUCUGCACCUCCCUCUCUCUCUCCUCUCUACUGCCUUUGUUUUUGCUCGCAAGAAAAACCCGAAAAAGACCUUGCGCAAAUCCGUCGUCCUGUCCACCGACGAAGCUUCUGAGUCCUCCUCGCCGCGCGCCUCUACGCGUGAUAUCGGUAAGCAGCCCAAAGAUCCCUGUGUUUUUGCCCUCAGGCUUUUUCGUCCCGCGUGGUUGGUUCCAUUCUACUGGUCUCUUCGAGCCUGUGAGGGGAAAUGGUAAUGCCGGUGGUCGCGACCGCGGUUCCUUGGUCCGACCCUGUUCCCCGAGUAGCUGCAGGAAUUUGCGUUUGCUCGGCCGGCAUAGCGCGGCGUGGUUCAAGGGGUUAGGCCUUUAACCUUUACCCCACAGGCGUGGUGGUUUCUCUGUUGUCUUGAGCUCUUUAGGGUGGUAAUGGCGUGGGAUCUGUUUUUUUUUGCUUCUUAGGUCAUCGUUGAUAUGAGGGCGGUAGUGGGAAAAAGCUGAAAAAAAGAAGGCUAGCGAGUUUGAAAAAGGUAAAGCUAUGUAAUUAUUGGUGCCCAUCUGUACCUCUUUGCUUCUUGCAACGCUGAGGAAGAUGCUGGCUCUUUGCUCGCUGGUGUUUUUAGAUCUGUAUUUGUUUUAACUUUCAUGUGCGCUGAGUUCCGUUUACUCUUCCCUUCAAAA